Molecule: ribosomal RNA, 449 nt
Filed under: uncultured bacterium
Lineage: Bacteria
Description: partial 16S ribosomal RNA
Rfam family: Bacterial small subunit ribosomal RNA
Source: RNAcentral
AAUGAACGCUGGCGGCAGGCCUAACACAUGCAAGUCGAACGGAUCCUUCGGGAUUAGUGGCGGACGGGUGAGUAACGCGUGGGAACAUACCCUUUGGUACGGAAUAGCCUCGGGAAACCGGGAGUAAUACCGUAUGUGGUCGAGAGACGAAAGAUUUAUCGCCAAAGGAAUGGCCCGCGUUGGAUUAGGUAGUUGGUGGGGUAAUGGCCUACCAAGCCGACGAUCCAUAGCUGGUUUGAGAGGAUGAUCAGCCACACUGGGACUGAGACGCGGCCCAGACUCCUACGGGAGGCAGCAGUGGGGAAUCUUAGACAAUGGGGGAAACCCUGAUCUAGCCAUGCCGCGUGAUCGAUGAAGGCCUUAGGGUUGUAAAGAUCUUUCAGGUGGGAAGAUAAUGACUGUACCACCAGAAGAAGCCCCGGCUAACUCCGUGCCAGCCGCCGCGGUAA